AACGUAGGAGACAAACGUUAUCCGGAGUUACUGGGCGUAAAGGGCGUGUAGGUGGUAAUGUAAGUCUGGCGUGAAAUUUUUCGGCUUAACCGGGAAAGGUCGUCGGAGACUGCAUAACUAGAGGACGGUAGAGGCGUGUGGAAUUCCGGGUGUAGUGGUGAAAUGCGUAGAGAUCCGGAGGAACACCAGUGGCGAAGGCGACACGCUGGGCCGUACCUGACACUGAUGCGCGACAGCAUGGGGAGCAAACAGG
Molecule: ribosomal RNA, 253 nt
Filed under: uncultured bacterium
Lineage: Bacteria
Description: partial 16S ribosomal RNA
Rfam family: Bacterial small subunit ribosomal RNA
Source: RNAcentral